RNAcentral lists this ribosomal RNA (490 nucleotides) under uncultured bacterium. RNAcentral's name for it is "bacterial SSU rRNA". It matches the Rfam family "Bacterial small subunit ribosomal RNA", at positions 39 to 482 of the family's 1533-position model. The record is from RNAcentral.
GGCCGCGGGAAUUCGAUUCAGGCCUAACACAUGCAAGUCGAACGAACUCUGGUAUUGAUUGGUGCUUGCAUCAUGAUUUACAUUUGAGUGAGUGGCGAACUGGUGAGUAACACGUGGGAAACCUGCCCAGAAGCGGGGGAUAACACCUGGAAACAGAUGCUAAUACCGCAUAACAACUCGGACCGCAUGGUCCGAGCUUGAAAGAUGGCUUCGGCUAUCACUUUUGGAUGGUCCCGCGGCGUAUUAGCUAGAUGGUGGGGUAACGGCUCACCAUGGCAAUGAUACGUAGCCGACCUGAGAGGGUAAUCGGCCACAUUGGGACUGAGACACGGCCCAAACUCCUACGGGAGGCAGCAGUAGGGAAUCUUCCACAAUGGACGAAAGUCUGAUGGAACAGCGCCGCGUGAGUGAAGAAGGGUUUCGGCUCGUAAAACACGGGGUUAAAGAAGAACAUAUCUGAGAGUAACUGUUCAGGUAUGACGGUAUAACC